RNAcentral lists this long non-coding RNA (428 nucleotides) under Zostera marina. Its description in RNAcentral is "long non-coding RNA (ZMAR_LNC003883)". The record is from RNAcentral. Lineage: Eukaryota; Viridiplantae; Streptophyta; Magnoliopsida; Alismatales; Zosteraceae.
AACUGGUUCACAUUAUUGAUGAAGGAUAAUCAAUAUAACAUUCAUGAAUCCAAAUGAUCGAAUUCUAAAUAAAGCAAAUCUUCUUAGGUUUCAAUUUCCAGAAAUAUCAUAAGUUGGCAAAAAAGGAAGAACUACCUAAAGAAAAUAAAAUGAUUUAUAAGCGAUAAGAUAGAAGAAAUCCAAACAAUAUGGGCACCAGUAGAACCAAAAUGAUUAUCUGCAAAGAAAUUGCGAUGAAAUUAAAUCGAAUAAAAUGUCUAAGAACCAAAAAAAAAGAAUAAAUAUCGUUAAGAUUUUCAUCUCACCAAUAUCAUGCUAUACAUCGAUUUGCUUUCGUAGGUAUUAUAUAGUCUGGGUAAAAAAGGGAUGAUUAGAUAUGAUAAUGUGUCGUAAUAUUAAAGGAAAAAAAAAUGUAAGCAAAGUUAUUG